Caretta caretta (loggerhead turtle) is the source of this 1354-nucleotide non-coding RNA. The record is from RefSeq and is a predicted model, not a curated record. NCBI's taxonomy places the organism in Eukaryota, Metazoa, Chordata, Testudines, Cheloniidae.
AGGAGAGGCUGAGGGAACUGGGAUUGUUUAGUCUGCGGAAGAGAAGAAUGAGGGGGGAUUUGAUAGCUGCUUUCAACUACCUGAAAGGGGGUUCCAAAGAGGAUGGAUCUAGACUGUUCUCAGUGGUAGCAGAUGACAGAACGAGGAGUAAUGGUCUCAAGUUGCAGUGCGGGAGGUUUAGGUUGGAUAUUAGGAAAAACUUUUUCACUAGGAGGGUGGUGAAACACUGGAAUGUGUUACCUAGGGAGGUGGUGGAAUCUCCUUCCUUAGAAGUUUUUAAGGUCAGGCUUGACAAAGCCCUGGCUGGGAUGAUUUAGUUGGGGAUUGGUCCUGCUUUGAGCAGGGGGUUGGACUAGAUGACCUCCUGAGGUCCCGUCCAACCCUGAUAUUCUAUGAUUCUGUUUUCCUUGUUGGGCCUGUUUUAUAGUAGGUGACUUCUGGGUACCCAUCUCGCUCUGUCAGUCUGUUUCCUCACUUCCACAGGUGGGUAUUGUAGUUUUAAGAAUGCUUGAUAAAGAUCUUGUAGGUGUUUGUCUCUGUCUGAUGGAUUAGAGCAAAAUCGGUUGUAUCUUAGGGCUUGGCUGUAGACAAUGUAUCUUGUGAUGUGUCCUGGAUAGCAGCUGGAGGCAUGUAGGUAAAUAUAGCAGUCAGUAGGUUUCUGGUAUAGGGUGGUGUUUAUGUGACCAUCACUUAUUUGUACUGUAGUGUCCAGGAAGUGGAUCUCUUGUGUGGACUGGUCCACCCUGAUUGAAUUGGCCCUGUCAGCACUGGUUCUCCACUUGUAAGGUAGCUCCCUUCUCUUCAUGUGUCAGUAUAUUUACACCUGCAUCUGUAAUUUUCACUCCAUGCAUCUGAAGAAGUGGGAUUUUUACCCACGAAAGCUUAUGCCCAAAUAAAUCUGUUAGUCUUUAAGGUGCCACCGGACUCCCCAUUGUUUUUUUGGAUACAGAUUAACACAGCUACCCCUCUGCUCCUUGGGAAGAACUCCCUGAUGGCUCCUAUCCUAGAUAACAUUAGGAGUGGAGUGGUGUGAUAUAUCCAUGGAUUCUAAAGGAAGCUAUGAGUCUAGGAAUGGGCUGCUGGGCACCCUCUCCCCUAUUUUCUUGCUUCUGGCUUUAGGAUUUUCUAGUUGGCCAGAAUUUGUCCCAGAUUUGUUGAGAGCUAUGCUUUUGACUUACUGCUUUCUGAAAAAUAUCAUAAUCUGUUUUAUUUCCUCUAACUCUUACAGAGUUUAUUGUGCAUUUUAAUUUUAAAUUUGUUUCACUUUUUUCUGACUACAGCUAUGUUCUGAAUAAUGUUACUAAAAGUGUAUUUUAAAAAUAAGUAAAUAAAAUGUAACAAGUGGUGCACCAAA